AGAACCUGCAGUUUGUUUUCUUCCACUACACUGACAAUAACUCUGACAGUAACUUGCGUGUACGAUUGAAGAGUGGCUCUUUUCACUGAAAUUACAUUGCGAUGGAUUUGAUUUCAGAACAGACGAGAGUCGGAUACAAAGAAAUCGCUGAACUGCUAGGAAAACUGACCGAAGAAACAAGCAAACUCGAGGCACACCAAAAGAAGAUGACCGAACACAAUCAUGCGCUCGGAAAUCUUAACAGAUCCUUCAACCAGGCCCAGACUCGCCUGGAGAGAGUGGCCGUAACAAAGUGCGGCAGUGACCUACUGAAACUGUAACCGCCCCGGACGACAGCUGCGCAGCACCGCUUCAUUCACUGAAAUACCGCUUUAUUUUUACUUUGAAACAUCAUGUGAACAAACACAAGCUUUUCAGUUAAUAAUUAC
Molecule: long non-coding RNA, 428 nt
Organism: Anguilla anguilla (European eel)
Lineage: Eukaryota; Metazoa; Chordata; Actinopteri; Anguilliformes; Anguillidae
Exons: 3
Source: RefSeq, a predicted model, not a curated record